Molecule: transfer RNA, 101 nt
Filed under: Trichoderma asperellum
Lineage: Eukaryota; Fungi; Ascomycota; Sordariomycetes; Hypocreales; Hypocreaceae
Also listed under: 2 other names
Rfam family: tRNA
About the family: Transfer RNA (tRNA) molecules are approximately 80 nucleotides in length. Their secondary structure includes four short double-helical elements and three loops (D, anti-codon, and T loops).
Source: Rfam by way of RNAcentral
GGGCGGAUGGUUUAGUGGUAUAAUUUUCCCUUAGCAUCUUUCAACCUUUGAGUUGGAUAAUCGCAUGGGAAAGGUCCGGGGUUCGAUUCCCCGUUCGUCCA